This 438-nucleotide long non-coding RNA is filed under the name Cicer arietinum (chickpea). RNAcentral's name for it is "long non-coding RNA (CARI_LNC001851)". Lineage: Eukaryota; Viridiplantae; Streptophyta; Magnoliopsida; Fabales; Fabaceae. The record is from RNAcentral.
AGAGAAAGUCGUCCCCAUCGAAAAGCAAGUUGAACCUUGCAUCACUGAAUCCCAGCUCUGUCACUUAGUCGAAACACACUCGAAAAAGUCGAAACCAAACCCUUCUUGUGUUACUUUCUUCAUCACUUCACUUCCCUUCACUUUUAGGUCAGGUCAGUUACUCUAUCUUUCUUUCUUCCCUCAAAAUCAAAACACUCUACAAAUUUAAAAAAUACAAUUGAAUACUAUAUAUAUAAUUUUGCUAUGGCCUAAAGUGUCUGACCCAUAACUAAAAGGUUUAAUGUAUAUAUAAUCAAUUUUUCAUAUACUUUCAGUUUGUACUUGGUUUUGGUUUCUUAUUAUCCACAUGUAUCCAAAUCUAACCUAAUAGGUCUACCCUUCUACAAUCCUUGCACUUGCAAUUGAAUUGAAGAAAGAAAAAAUAUUUUUACAUUUGUG